UUACACAUGCAAGUCGAGCGGUAAGGCCCUUCGGGGUACACGAGCGGCGAACGGGUGAGUAACACGUGAGCAACCUGCCCCCGACUCCGGGAUAAGCGGUGGAAACGCCGUCUAAUACCGGAUACGACACACCGCCUCAUGGCGGUGUGUGGAAAGUUUUUCGGUCGGGGAUGGGCUCGCGGCCUAUCAGCUUGUUGGUGGGGUAACGGCCUACCAAGGCGAUUACGGGUAGCCGGCCUGAGAGGGCGACCGGCCACACUGGGACUGAGACACGGCCCAGACUCCUGCGGGAGGCAGCAGUGGGGAAUAUUGCGCAAUGGGCGAAAGCCUGACGCAGCGACGCCGCGUGGGGGAUGACGGCCUUCGGGUUGUAAACCUCUUUUACCACCAACGCAGGCUCCCAGUUCUCUGGGGGUUGACGGUAGGUGGGGAAUAAGGACCGGCUAACUACGUGCCAGCAGCCGCGGUAAUACGUAGGGUCCGAGCGUUGUCCGGAAUUAUUGGGCGUAAAGAGCUCGUAGGCGGCGUGUCGCGUCUGCUGUGAAAGACCGGGGCUUAACUCCGGUUCUGCAGUGGAUACGGGCAUGCUAGAGGUAGGUAGGGGAGACUGGAAUUCCUGGUGUAGCGGUGAAAUGCGCAGAUAUCAGGAGGAACACCGGUGGCGAAGGCGGGUCUCUGGGCCUUACCUGACGCUGAGGAGCGAAAGCAUGGGGAGCGAACAGGAUUAGAUACCCUGGUAGUCCAUGCCGUAAACGUUGGGCGCUAGGUGUGGGGACUUUCCACGGUUUCCGCGCCGUAGCUAACGCAUUAAGCGCCCCGCCUGGGGAGUACGGCCGCAAGGCUAAAACUCAAAGGAAUUGACGGGGGCCCGCACAAGCGGCGGAGCAUGUUGCUUAAUUCGACGCAACGCGAAGAACCUUACCAAGGUUUGACAUCGCCCGUGGACCUGUAGAGAUACAGGGUCAUUUAGUUGGUGGGUGACAGGUGGUGCAUGGCUGUCGUCAGCUCGUGUCGUGAGAUGUUG
This 1024-nucleotide ribosomal RNA is filed under the name Nocardiopsis sp. 2(2011). RNAcentral describes it as "bacterial SSU rRNA". It matches the Rfam family "Bacterial small subunit ribosomal RNA", at positions 49 to 1077 of the family's 1533-position model. Lineage: Bacteria; Bacillati; Actinomycetota; Actinomycetes; Streptosporangiales; Nocardiopsidaceae. The record is from RNAcentral.